RNAcentral lists this unclassified non-coding RNA (391 nucleotides) under soil metagenome. RNAcentral's name for it is "partial contains 5.8S ribosomal RNA, internal transcribed spacer 2, and large subunit ribosomal RNA". The stretch from base 1 to 122 matches the Rfam family "5.8S ribosomal RNA", at positions 35 to 154 of the family's 154-position model. The record is from RNAcentral.
GAUGAAGAACGCAGCGAAAUGUGAUACUUGGUGUGAAUUGCAGAAUCCCGUGAACCAUCGAGUCUUUGAACGCAAGUUGCGCCCGAAGCCAUUAGGCCGAGGGCACGCCUGCCUGGGCGUCACACGUCGUUGCCCCCCCAUCUACUCCUUCGGGAUUGCGGGGGGCGGAUGAUGGCCUCCCGUGCGCCUCGUCGCGCGGUUGGCAUAAAUGCCAAGUCCUCGGCGACGCACGCCACGACAAUCGGUGGUUGCGAAACCUCGGUUGCCCGUCGUGUGCGGUCGUCGCGCAUCGAGGGCUCGAAAAAAUUGUCGGGCUCCGGCUCGGCUUUCAACGCGACCCCAGGUCAGGCGGGGUUACCCGCUGAAUUUAAGCAUAUCAAUAAGCGGAGGA